RNAcentral lists this ribosomal RNA (253 nucleotides) under uncultured bacterium. RNAcentral's name for it is "partial 16S ribosomal RNA". It matches the Rfam family "Bacterial small subunit ribosomal RNA", at positions 524 to 776 of the family's 1533-position model. The record is from RNAcentral.
UACGUAGGUGACAAGCGUUGUCCGGAUUUACUGGGCGUAAAGAGCGCGCAGGCGGCCGAUCAAGUCGAGUGUGAAAGCCCCCGGCUCAACUGGGGAGGGUCAUUCGAUACUGAUCGACUCGAAGGCAGGAGAGGGUAGUGGAAUUCCCGGUGUAGUGGUGAAAUGCGUAGAUAUCGGGAGGAACACCAGUGGCGAAGGCGACUACCUGGCCUGUUCUUGACGCUGAGGCGCGAAAGCUAGGGGAGCAAACGGG